This is a small nuclear RNA of Suncus etruscus (white-toothed pygmy shrew), 191 nucleotides long. RefSeq annotates it as U2 spliceosomal RNA. Lineage: Eukaryota; Metazoa; Chordata; Mammalia; Eulipotyphla; Soricidae. The record is from RefSeq and is a predicted model, not a curated record. The transcript has a single exon.
AUCGCUUCUUGGCCUUUUGGCUAAGAUCAAGUGUAGUAUCUGUUUUUAUCAGUUUAAUAUCUGAUAUCUCAUCUAUCUGACAACAAUAUAUUAAAUGAAUUUUUGGCACUAGAAAAUGGAAUAGGGGCUUGCUCCGUCCAUUCCACGCAUUGACCUGGUAUUGCUCUAUCUCCAUAAAUGGUGCACCAAAA